GAUGAACGCUAGCUACAGGCUUAACACAUGCAAGUCGAGGGGAAACGACAUCGAAAGCUUGCUUUUGAUGGGCGUCGACCGGCGCACGGGUGAGUAACGCGUAUCCAACCUGCCCACCACUUGGGGAUAACCUUGCGAAAGUAAGACUAAUACCCGAUGAUAUCCCUAGAAGACAUCUGAAAGGGAUUAAAGAUUUAUCGGUGAUGGAUGGGGAUGCGUCUGAUUAGCUUGUUGGCGGGGUAACGGCCCACCAAGGCAACGAUCAGUAGGGGGUUCUGAGAGGAAGGUCCCCCACAUUGGAACUGAGACACGGUCCAAACUCCUACGGGAGGCAGCAGUGAGGAAUAUUGGUCAAUGGGCGAGAGCCUGAACCAGCCAAGUAGCGUGCAGGAUGACGGCCCUAUGGGUUGUAAACUGCUUUUAUAAGGGAAUAAAGUGGGUCUCGUGAGACUUUUUGCAUGUACCUUAUGAAUAAGGACCGGCUAAUUCCGUG
RNAcentral lists this ribosomal RNA (493 nucleotides) under uncultured bacterium. RNAcentral describes it as "bacterial SSU rRNA". It matches the Rfam family "Bacterial small subunit ribosomal RNA", at positions 28 to 507 of the family's 1533-position model. The record is from RNAcentral.